GAUGAACGCUGACAGAAUGCUUAACACAUGCAAGUCGAUGGGGAAGUGGUGCUUGCACCCUGGCAACCAUGGCGGACGGGUGAGUAACGCGUAAGGGACUUACCUGCAGGACUGGGAUAACAGGGGGAAACUCCUGACAAGACCGGAUAAUGUCAUGGAGCUGCAUGGCUUUAUGAUGAAAGGAGACGCCUGCGGAGAGCCUUGCGUCCUAUUAGCUAGUUGGUGAGGUAAUGGCUCACCAAGGCGAAGAUAGGUAGCCGGCCUGAGAGGGUGGACGGCCACAAGGGGACUGAGAUACGGCCCUUACUCCUAGGGGAGGCAGCAGUGGGGAAUAUUGGACAAUGGGGGCAACGCUGAUCCAGCAAUUCGGUGUGCACGAAGAAGGUUUUCGGAUUGUAAAGUGCUUUCAGCAGGGAAGAAGUAAGUGACGGUACCUGCAGAAGAAGCGACGGCUAAAUACGUG
This 463-nucleotide ribosomal RNA is filed under the name uncultured bacterium. RNAcentral describes it as "partial 16S ribosomal RNA". It matches the Rfam family "Bacterial small subunit ribosomal RNA", at positions 28 to 507 of the family's 1533-position model. The record is from RNAcentral.